Small nuclear RNA from Maylandia zebra (zebra mbuna), 147 nucleotides. Its record names the gene U2. It matches the Rfam family "U2 spliceosomal RNA". Rfam says of the family: U2 is a small nuclear RNA (snRNA) component of the spliceosome (involved in pre-mRNA splicing). Complementary binding between U2 snRNA (in an area lying towards the 5' end but 3' to hairpin I) and the branchpoint sequence (BPS) of the intron results the bulging out of an unpaired adenosine, on the BPS, which initiates a nucleophilic attack at the intronic 5' splice site, thus starting the first of two transesterification reactions that mediate splicing. The record is from Ensembl. Lineage: Eukaryota; Metazoa; Chordata; Actinopteri; Cichliformes; Cichlidae.
AUCUGUUCUUAUCAGUUUAAUAUCUGAUACGUCCCCUAUCCGGGGACCAUAUAUUAAAUUGAUUUUUGGAGCAGGGAGAUGGAAUAGGGGCUUGCUCCGUCCACUCCACGCAUCGACCUGGUAUUGCAGUAUUUCUAGGAACGGUGC